AACUGCGGAAGGACAU
This 16-nucleotide ribosomal RNA is filed under the name Tricholoma sp. Hack2015. Its description in RNAcentral is "partial 18S ribosomal RNA". Lineage: Eukaryota; Fungi; Basidiomycota; Agaricomycetes; Agaricales; Tricholomataceae. The record is from RNAcentral.